Molecule: non-coding RNA, 86 nt
Filed under: Salipiger bermudensis HTCC2601
Lineage: Bacteria; Pseudomonadati; Pseudomonadota; Alphaproteobacteria; Rhodobacterales; Roseobacteraceae
Also listed under: 1 other name
Description: Pelagibaca bermudensis HTCC2601 Glycine riboswitch aptamer
Rfam family: Glycine riboswitch aptamer
About the family: This family represents the bacterial glycine riboswitch. Glycine riboswitches usually consist of two metabolite-binding aptamers domains with similar structures in tandem. The aptamers cooperatively bind glycine to regulate the expression of downstream genes.
Source: Rfam by way of RNAcentral
CCCAUCGCAGAGGGAGAACCGGCUUUGCCGGUGCCGAAGGAGCAACCGCCCCGGAAACUCUCAGGCCCACGGACCUUUGCGGACGC